Molecule: ribosomal RNA, 443 nt
Filed under: uncultured bacterium
Lineage: Bacteria
Description: SSU rRNA
Rfam family: Bacterial small subunit ribosomal RNA
Source: RNAcentral
AGAACGAACGCUGGCGGCAGGCUUAACACAUGCAAGUCGAGCGCCCAGCAAUGGGAGCGGCGGACGGGUGAGUAACACGUGGGAACAUGCCCUUUGGUACGGAACAACUCAGGGAAACUUGAGCUAAUACCGUAUGUGCCGGUAACGGGAAAGAUUUAUCGCCAAAGGAUUGGCCCGCGUCCGAUUAGCUAGUUGGUGAGGUAACGGCCCACCAAGGCUCCGAUCGGUAGCUGGUUUGAGAGAACGACCAGCCACACUGGGACUGAGGCACGGCCCAGACUCCUACGGGAGGCAGCAGUGGGGAAUCUUGGACAAUGGGGAAACCCUGAUCCAGCCAUGCCGCGUGAGUGAUGAAGGCCUUCGGGUUGUAAAACUCUUUCGACGGGGACGAUAAUGACGGUACCCGUAGAAGAAGCUCCGGCUAACUUCGUGCCAGCAGCCGC